This 450-nucleotide ribosomal RNA is filed under the name uncultured bacterium. Its description in RNAcentral is "partial 16S ribosomal RNA". It matches the Rfam family "Bacterial small subunit ribosomal RNA", at positions 354 to 796 of the family's 1533-position model. The record is from RNAcentral.
GUGGGGAAUAUUGGACAAUGGGCGAAAGCCUGAUCCAGCCAUGCCGCGUGUGUGAAGAAGGUCUUCGGAUUGUAAAGCACUUUAAGUUGGGAGGAAGGGCAGUAAGUUAAUACCUUGCUGUUUUGACGUUACCGACAGAAUAAGCACCGGCUAACUUCGUGCCAGCAGCCGCGGUAAUACGAAGGGUGCAAGCGUUAAUCGGAAUUACUGGGCGUAAAGCGCGCGUAGGUGGUUUUGUAAGUUGGAGGUGAAAUCCCCGGGCUCAACCUGGGAACUGCCUCCAAAACUGAAUGACUAGAGUACGGUAGAGGGUAGUGGAAUUUCCUGUGUAGCGGUGAAAUGCGUAGAUAUAGGAAGGAACACCAGUGGCGAAGGCGACUACCUGGACUGAUACUGACACUGAGGUGCGAAAGCGUGGGGAGCAAACAGGAUUAGAUACCCGGGUAGUCC